This 264-nucleotide unclassified non-coding RNA is filed under the name Hevea brasiliensis (rubber tree). The record is from RNAcentral. Lineage: Eukaryota; Viridiplantae; Streptophyta; Magnoliopsida; Malpighiales; Euphorbiaceae.
GAUGAUGAUUGCUUUGUUGCUAAGGAUCCUUCUGGCAAGCCAAUCAAUGCACUUGAGCAGCACAUCAAGAACCUUCUCUCCCCAUCGACUCCCUUUUUCUUCAAUACCCUUUAUGAUCCUUACAGAGAAGGUGCAGAUUUUGUUCGUGGAUACCCUUUCAGCCUUCGUGAGGGUGUCCAUACUGCUGUUUCUCAUGGCCUAUGGCUCAACAUCCCUGAUUAUGAUGCACCUACUCAGCUUGUCAAGCCUCUGGAGAGGAACACA